GUGCUUACCUGGCCGGGGAGAUGCCACAAAUUAAAGUGGUUUCCCCAGCACAGACUGUCCAUUGCACUCUAGAUGUUCUGACCCCUGCACUUUCUCCAGAUGUGGGAGACUCUAUAGUUUGUGGUAACGGGGGAUUAUGUUGAGCUCCUG
This 150-nucleotide small nuclear RNA is filed under the name Erinaceus europaeus (western European hedgehog). Its description in RNAcentral is "U1 spliceosomal RNA (ENSEEUG00000022712.1)". Lineage: Eukaryota; Metazoa; Chordata; Mammalia; Eulipotyphla; Erinaceidae. The record is from RNAcentral.